AGCAGUGGGGAAUAUUGGACAAUGGGCGCAAGCCUGAUCCAGCCAUACCGCGUGGGUGAAGAAGGCCUUCGGGUUGUAAAGCCCUUUUGUUGGGAAAGAAAUCCAGCCGGCUAAUACCUGGUUGGGAUGACGGUACCCAAAGAAUAAGCACCGGCUAACUUCGUGCCAGCAGCCGCGGUAAUACGAAGGGUGCAAGCGUUACUCGGAAUUACUGGGCGUAAAGCGUGCGUAGGUGGUUGUUUAAGUCUGUUGUGAAAGCCCUGGGCUCAACCUGGGAACUGCAGUGGAAACUGGACGACUAGAGUGUGGUAGAGGGUAGCGGAAUUCCCGGUGUAGCAGUGAAAUGCGUAGAGAUCGGGAGGAACAUCCAUGGCGAAGGCAGCUACCUGGACCAACACUGACACUGAGGCACGAAAGCGUGGGGAGCAAACAGGAUUAGAUACCCUGGUAGUCCACGCCCUAAACGAUGCGAACUGGAUGUUGGGUGCAAUUUGGCACGCAGUAUCGAAGCUAACGCGUUAAGUUCGCCGCCUGGGGAGUACGGUCGCAAGA
Molecule: ribosomal RNA, 552 nt
Filed under: Stenotrophomonas pavanii
Lineage: Bacteria; Pseudomonadati; Pseudomonadota; Gammaproteobacteria; Lysobacterales; Lysobacteraceae
Description: bacterial SSU rRNA
Rfam family: Bacterial small subunit ribosomal RNA
Source: RNAcentral